RNAcentral lists this transfer RNA (64 nucleotides) under Phycisphaerae bacterium. Its description in RNAcentral is "tRNA-Phe". The record is from RNAcentral. Lineage: Bacteria; Pseudomonadati; Planctomycetota; Phycisphaerae.
ACUUACAAAAGGCGAGUUCGGACUGAAAAUCCGUGUGUCGCGGGUUCAACUCCCGCCCUGCCCA